Molecule: small nucleolar RNA, 94 nt
Filed under: Orbilia oligospora ATCC 24927
Lineage: Eukaryota; Fungi; Ascomycota; Orbiliomycetes; Orbiliales; Orbiliaceae
Description: Arthrobotrys oligospora ATCC 24927 Small nucleolar RNA R38
Rfam family: Small nucleolar RNA R38
About the family: snoR38 is a C/D box small nucleolar RNA conserved across yeast, human, Arabidopsis and rice. It is encoded in the intron of elongation factor-1 gamma in both pombe and cerevisiae. snoR38 guides the methylation of 2'-O-ribose sites in 28S rRNA.
Source: Rfam by way of RNAcentral
AUGAUACAAUGAUGAAAAAUCUUGUUUUAUUUUUACAGUUAUCCCUGUCAGAGUAAAAACAAUUCCUGUUGAGAAAUUUACUUCUGAGUAUCAU